CACGGAGGGGUCGUGCGCAGAAGACGGGGGGCUGCUGGUACCCUCGGGGAGAGGCGUUGGCAGCGAGGAGUCUGGGGGGGAACUUGCAUGAGACCAGCCUUUGCUGCCUGAGCUCUGCCUGCGGAUGUGUAACCAGGGAUGGACUAGUGGAAAGGAGCAUUCAGUGAACAUCUGAAGGUCUCUAACCAGAAAUAUGCACUCAAGGAGGCAGGUGAGGAGAAAAUAAGAAGGUAGAGGAACAGACCAUCUUGUGCCCAGAAACUUUAACAACCAGCCUGGGGGCGGUGAGGAAGCACUGACGUGCAGGAUUUGGCCAUCACCAUGGUGACAGCGCUCCCACAGUGGCCAUCCCUAGGAAAGGGGUGAAGCAGCUCAGCACCACAAGCAUUUCUACCACACGGAUACGACACCCCUCAACAGCCUCAAGGGCACAGGUCAUCGUAAAAUGUAGGAAAAGAAUUCCUGAUGAGACCUCGCAAAAUUCCUGAAAUGCAGGAGCUGGUACAGGCCAUCUGGAAUGAGGAGUGGGUACCGGGCUGUCCUCCUUACCUCUGAGCCUCUCAUCACUGGAGCAGCCAGACCGUCAGGGACCCAGGCCACCUCCUGCCAGCUUCCGUCCCCUCGAUAUCACCCAGACCGUUCCUUCCUCCCUUCUUCCCACAAAUAACCACAAAUAAAGGCUAACUUUUCU
This is a long non-coding RNA of Lagenorhynchus albirostris (white-beaked dolphin), 691 nucleotides long. RefSeq lists it as uncharacterized. The transcript has 3 exons. The record is from RefSeq and is a predicted model, not a curated record. Lineage: Eukaryota; Metazoa; Chordata; Mammalia; Artiodactyla; Delphinidae.